This 494-nucleotide ribosomal RNA is filed under the name uncultured bacterium. Its description in RNAcentral is "bacterial SSU rRNA". It matches the Rfam family "Bacterial small subunit ribosomal RNA", at positions 30 to 507 of the family's 1533-position model. The record is from RNAcentral.
AUUGAACGCUGGCGGCAGGCCUAACACAUGCAAGUCGAGCGGUAACAGGAAAUAGCUUGCUUAUUUUGCUGACGAGCGGCGGACGGGUGAGUAACGCGUAGGAAUUUGCCCAGUAGGUGGGGGAUAGCCCGGAGAAAUUCGGAUUAAUACCGCAUACGCCCUAAGGGGGAAANCGAGGGGAUCUUCGGACCUUGCGCUAUUGGAUAAGCCUGCGUGAGAUUAGCUAGUUGGUGAGGUAAGGGCUCACCAAGGCGACGAUCUCUAGCUGGUCUGAGAGGAUGAUCAGCCACACUGGAACUGAGACACGGUCCAGACUCCUACGGGGGGGCAGCAGUGGGGAAUAUUGCACAAUGGGCGAAAGCCUGAUGCAGCCAUGCCGCGUGUGUGAAGAAGGCUCUAGGGUUGUAAAGCACUUUCAGUAGGGAGGAAAAGUCGAUAGUUAAUACCUAUCGGCCGUGACGUUACCUACAGAAGAAGCACCGGCUAACUCCGUG